Mauremys reevesii (Reeves's turtle) is the source of this 742-nucleotide non-coding RNA. Lineage: Eukaryota; Metazoa; Chordata; Testudines; Geoemydidae. The record is from the annotation of a RefSeq genome assembly.
ACCCCUGGAGGCUGAGCGGUGUCACAGCUUCACCUCAUCCAGGUUCAGCUGCAGCCACUUCAUUCUGCAGCUGAGUCCCUGACAAUGAGCCUGGCCGCUUUGCUGCUGGUGCUGGCUCCAGGUGCGUUGGCCCAAUACACGGUGACCCAGGAGCCGUCCCAGGUCGCUGCCAAGGAAGGAGAAUCCAUCCAGCUCAACUGCUCCUACACGGGCACCGAGUACAGCGUGCAUUGGUACCGCCAGCCCCAGGGGGGCCAGCCGCGGUUCCUGGCGCUCCUGUCCUCUAGCCGCAGAGACACCCGAGAGAAUUUCACCAUGAGCCUGGACACCAAAACCAAAAGCAGCUUCUUGUACCUCAACAGCAGCCGCCUGGAAGACUCUGCUGUGUAUCUGUGCGCGCUGGAGCACAGUGCCAGGUGAGCACAGGCAGCCCGUCACAAAACCCUGGGUGGGGGCAGGGCACACGGACCCGAGAGAGGAGACAAGCAGAAGUUAGAAUAGAACAGCGGAUAUGAGCACAGAGAGAAGAAAGGAAAGUAGAACAGAGUCGGCGAGAGGCAAUAAGAAUAGAAUGGAACAGAAGAGAACACACGGGAACGGACCGGAACAGGAGCGAUGUGAACAGAAUAAAGGGGAGAGAAGAGAAGAGGGGUCAGUAAUUUAAGGAAGAAACUUGAAGAAUCAGCUGGAAAAUUAUAGACAUUUUCACCUUUUCGCCUUCCCCAAUUGCCUGGAUCUGGUG